AACUAACGCUGGCGGCGCGUCUUAAACAUGCAAGUCGAGCGGUAAGGCCCGCAAGGGUACACGAGCGGCAAACGGGUGAGUAACACGUAGGUAAUCUUCCCUUCAGUGGGGGACAACCUGCCGAAAGGCAGGCUAAUACCCCAUAUUUCCAGUCCUUCCACGGUGGGAUUGUAGAAAGCAGCAAUGCGCUGAAGGAUGAGCCUGCGGCUGAUUAGCUUGUUGGCGGGGUAACGGCCCACCAAGGCGACGAUCAGUAGCCGGCCUGAGAGGGUGUCCGGCCACACUGGGACUGAGACACGGCCCAGACUCCUACGGGAGGCAGCAGUUAAGAAUCUUGCGCAAUGGGCGCAAGCCUGACGCAGCGACGCCGCGUGCGCGAUGAAGGCC
This 387-nucleotide ribosomal RNA is filed under the name uncultured bacterium. Its description in RNAcentral is "bacterial SSU rRNA". It matches the Rfam family "Bacterial small subunit ribosomal RNA", at positions 29 to 416 of the family's 1533-position model. The record is from RNAcentral.